RNAcentral lists this ribosomal RNA (423 nucleotides) under uncultured microorganism. RNAcentral's name for it is "bacterial SSU rRNA". It matches the Rfam family "Archaeal small subunit ribosomal RNA", at positions 330 to 745 of the family's 1478-position model. The record is from RNAcentral.
GCGCACCAGGCGAGAAAACUUCACAAUGUGCGAAAGCACGAUGAGGGAAUCCCAAGUGCUUGCACGUAAGUGUAAGCUGUUUCUCUGUCUAAAACGCAGAGAGAGUAAGGGCUGGGUAAGACGGGUGCCAGCCGCCGCGGUAAUACCUGCAGCUCGAGUGGUGACCGUUAUUAUUGGGCCUAAAAACGUCCGUAGCCGGUUUAAUAAAAUGCCUGGGUAAAAUCGGACCGCUUAAACGGUUCGAAUUCCGGGUAGACUGUUAAAACUUGAGACCGGGAGAAGUUAGAGGUACUCCUGGGGUAGAGGUGAAAAUUCUGUAAAUCCUAGGGGGACCACCAGUGGCGAAGGCGUCUAACUAGAACGGGUCUGACGGUGAGGGACGAAAGCCCUGGGGCGCAAAACGGGAUUAGAUACCCGUGUAGU